RNAcentral lists this ribosomal RNA (607 nucleotides) under Pochonia chlamydosporia var. catenulata. Its description in RNAcentral is "eukaryotic LSU rRNA". It matches the Rfam family "Eukaryotic large subunit ribosomal RNA", at positions 37 to 667 of the family's 3401-position model. The record is from RNAcentral. Lineage: Eukaryota; Fungi; Ascomycota; Sordariomycetes; Hypocreales; Clavicipitaceae.
UGCAUAUCAAUAAGCGGAGGAAAAGAAACCAACAGGGAUUGCCCCAGUAACGGCGAGUGAAGCGGCAACAGCUCAAAUUUGAAAUCUGGCCCCUAGGGCCCGAGUUGUAAUUUGCAGAGGAUGCUUUUGGCAAGGUGCCUUCCGAGUUCCCUGGAACGGGACGCCAUAGAGGGUGAGAGCCCCGUCUGGUUGGAUGCCGAGCCUCUGUAAAGCUCCUUCGACGAGUCGAGUAGUUUGGGAAUGCUGCUCUAAAUGGGAGGUAUAUGUCUUCUAAAGCUAAAUACCGGCCAGAGACCGAUAGCGCACAAGUAGAGUGAUCGAAAGAUGAAAAGCACUUUGAAAAGAGGGUUAAAUAGUACGUGAAAUUGUUGAAAGGGAAGCACUUAUGACCAGACUUGGACCCGGUGAAUCAUCCAGCGUUCUCGCUGGUGCACUUUGCCGGGCUCAGGCCAGCAUCAGUUUGCCCCGGGGGAUAAAGGCUUUGGGAAUGUGGCUCCCUCGGGAGUGUUAUAGCCCAUUGCACAAUACCCUGGGGCGGACUGAGGUUCGCGCAUCUGCAAGGAUGCUGGCGUAAUGGUCAUCAGUGACCCGUCUUGAAACACGGACC